Molecule: ribosomal RNA, 425 nt
Filed under: uncultured Methanosaeta sp.
Lineage: Archaea; Methanobacteriati; Methanobacteriota; Methanomicrobia; Methanotrichales; Methanotrichaceae
Description: bacterial SSU rRNA
Rfam family: Archaeal small subunit ribosomal RNA
Source: RNAcentral
CCUACGGGGCGCAGCAGGCGCGAAAACUUUACAAUGCUGGAAACAGCGAUAAGGGGACCUCGAGUGCCAGGUUACAAAUCUGGCUGUCGUGAUGCCUAAAAAGCAUUGCAUAGCAAGGGCCGGGCAAGACCGGUGCCAGCCGCCGCGGUAACACCGGCGGCUCGAGUGGUAACCGUUAUUAUUGGGUCUAAAGGGUCUGUAGCCGGCCGGAUAAGUCUCUUGGGAAAUCUGGCAGCUUAACUGUCAGGCUUUCAGGAGAUACUGUUCGGCUCGAGGCCGGGAGAGGUGAGAGGUACUUCAGGGGUAGGGGUGAAAUCUUGUAAUCCUUGAAGGACCACCAGUGGCGAAGGCGUCUCACCAGAACGGACCUGACGGCAAGGGACGAAAGCUGGGGGAGCAAACCGGAUUAGAUACCCCUGUAGUCC